This 506-nucleotide ribosomal RNA is filed under the name uncultured bacterium. RNAcentral's name for it is "partial 16S ribosomal RNA". It matches the Rfam family "Bacterial small subunit ribosomal RNA", at positions 29 to 523 of the family's 1533-position model. The record is from RNAcentral.
AGUGAACGCUGGCGGUAGGCCUAACACAUGCAAGUCGAACGGCAGCACAGGAGAGCUUGCUCUCUGGGUGGCGAGUGGCGGACGGGUGAGGAAUACAUCGGAAUCUACUUUUUCGUGGGGGAUAACGUAGGGAAACUUACGCUAAUACCGCAUACGACCUACGGGUGAAAGCAGGGGGCCUUCGGGCCUUGCGCGAUUGAAUGAGCCGAUGUCGGAUUAGCUAGUUGGCGGGGUAAAGGCCCACCAAGGCGACGAUCCGUAGCUGGUCUGAGAGGAUUAUCAGCCACACUGGAACUGAGACACGGUCCAGACUCCUACGGGAGGCAGCAGUGGGGAAUAUUGGACAAUGGGCGCAAGCCUGAUCCAGCCAUACCGCGUGGGUGAAGAAGGCCUUCGGGUUGUAAAGCCCUUUUGUUGGGAAAGAAAGCCAGCUGGCUAAUACCCGGUUGGGAUGACGGUACCCAAAGAAUAAGCACCGGCUAACUUCGUGCCAGCCGCCGCCGCCG